Molecule: ribosomal RNA, 162 nt
Filed under: uncultured bacterium
Lineage: Bacteria
Description: partial 16S rRNA
Rfam family: Bacterial small subunit ribosomal RNA
Source: RNAcentral
UAGGGAAUCUUCCACAAUGGACGCAAGUCUGAUGGAGCAACGCCGCGUGAGUGAAGAAGGGUUUCGGCUCGUAAAGCUCUGUUGUUAAAGAAGAACGUGGGUAAGAGUAACUGUUUACCCAGUGACGGUAUUUACCAGAAGCCACGGCUAACUACGUGCCAG